GAUGAACGCUGGCGGCGUGCCUAAUACAUGCAAGUCGAGCGAAUGGAUUAAGAGCUUGCUCUUAUGAAGUUAGCGGCGGACGGGUGAGUAACACGUGGGUAACCUGCCCAUAAGACUGGGAUAACUCCGGGAAACCGGGGCUAAUACCGGAUAACAUUUUGAACCGCAUGGUUCGAAAUUGAAAGGCGGCUUCGGCUGUCACUUAUGGAUGGACCCGCGUCGCAUUAGCUAGUUGGUGAGGUAACGGCUCACCAAGGCAACGAUGCGUAGCCGACCUGAGAGGGUGAUCGGCCACACUGGGACUGAGACACGGCCCAGACUCCUACGGGAGGCAGCAGUAGGGAAUCUUCCGCAAUGGACGAAAGUCUGACGGAGCAACGCCGCGUGAGUGAUGAAGGCUUUCGGGUCGUAAAACUCUGUUGUUAGGGAAGAACAAGUGCUAGUUGAAUAAGCUGGCACCUUGACGGUACCUAACCAGGAAGCCACGAA
This 489-nucleotide ribosomal RNA is filed under the name Bacillus cereus. RNAcentral's name for it is "bacterial SSU rRNA". It matches the Rfam family "Bacterial small subunit ribosomal RNA", at positions 28 to 497 of the family's 1533-position model. Lineage: Bacteria; Bacillati; Bacillota; Bacilli; Caryophanales; Bacillaceae. The record is from RNAcentral.